This 767-nucleotide unclassified non-coding RNA is filed under the name Hevea brasiliensis (rubber tree). Lineage: Eukaryota; Viridiplantae; Streptophyta; Magnoliopsida; Malpighiales; Euphorbiaceae. The record is from RNAcentral.
CAUUUGCCUACCACUAGUUCACAACAACUCGCUUUUCCUCGUUGAGAUGGAAAAUGAGCCUUUUCUGGCCUCCCAAACAAGGCCCCAGCCCCAGUCCUCCCAGCUCCAACCCAUUCUUGAACACCAUGAUCUCUCUUUCACUCUCCCUCAGUCUCUUUCCGGCCCAUUCAUAUUCCCUGAAAUCCAGGACCACCCACAAGAGCAACCCUCUUCUACCCCCGGAGCUCCGGCCGACCACAGAUGGAAACCGAGUUCUCUCCAUCGCUCGAAGACGGCUCCAGCCAUGGUCGUCAUGCAAGACUUGAAACCAGAAUCAACCCAAGAUCGCCACAAUCUGACAACGACUCCAUUAUCAGGCAAGCCAUUUUCCUGCUUUCUAUGUAUUUACUUAUCGGCGUGGUUAUCUACUCUUUUAACAGAGAUAACUUCUCCGGUGUAGAAACCCACCCGGUUGUCGAUGCCCUCANGCCCUCUAUUUCUGCAUAGUAACUAUGUGUACCAUUGGCUAUGGUGAUAUCGCUCCUUUGACACCUGAAACAAAAGUCUUUGCGUGCGUCUUUGUAUUGGUAGGUUUUGGAUUCAUAGACAUAUUACUUAGUGGGUUGGUUAACUAUGUUCUUGAUUUGCAAGAGAGCAUGAUCUUGGCUGGGAUUCAGAUGGGUAAAGCCCACCACCAAGGAUUUUCAGCUAGGAAUUACAUUGUCGAUGUUGAAAAGGGGCGGAUGAGGAUACGAUUGAAGUUAUGUCAGUUACUACAGUUGGUUAUG